RNAcentral lists this ribosomal RNA (443 nucleotides) under uncultured bacterium. Its description in RNAcentral is "bacterial SSU rRNA". It matches the Rfam family "Bacterial small subunit ribosomal RNA", at positions 28 to 451 of the family's 1533-position model. The record is from RNAcentral.
GAUGAACGCUGGCGGCGUGCUUAACACAUGCAAGUCGAACGAAGCACUUUAUUUGAUUUCCUUCGGGAUUGAUUAUUUUGUGACUGAGUGGCGGACGGGUGAGUAACGCGUGGGUAACCUGCCUUGUACAGGGGGAUAACAGUUGGAAGCGGCUGCUAAUACCGCAUAAGCGCACGGCAUCGCAUGAUGCAGUGUGAAAAACUCCGGUGGUAUAAGAUGGACCCGCGUUGGAUUAGCUAGUUGGUGAGGUAACGGCCCACCAAGGCGACGAUCCAUAGCCGACCUGAGAGGGUGACCGGCCACAUUGGGACUGAGACACGGCCCAAACUCCUACGGGAGGCAGCAGUGGGGAAUAUUGCACAAUGGGCGAAAGCCUGAUGCAGCGACGCCGCGUGAGCGAAGAAGUAUUUCGGUAUGUAAAGCUCUAUCAGCAGGGAAGAUAA